This 470-nucleotide ribosomal RNA is filed under the name uncultured bacterium. RNAcentral's name for it is "bacterial SSU rRNA". It matches the Rfam family "Bacterial small subunit ribosomal RNA", at positions 15 to 507 of the family's 1533-position model. The record is from RNAcentral.
GAUCCUGGCUCAGAUUGAACGCUGGCGGCAUGCCUUACACAUGCAAGUCGAACGGCAGCACGGGAGCAAUCCUGGUGCGAGUGGCGAACGGGUGAGUAAUAUAUCGGAACGUACCUUUCAGUGGGGAUAACGUAGCGAAAGUUACGCUAAUACCGCAUAUUCUGUGAGCAGGAAAGCAGGGGAUCGCAAGACCUUGCGCUGAUUGAGCGGCCGAUAUCAGAUUAGCUAGUUGGUGAGGUAAAGGCUCACCAAGGCGACGAUCUGUAGCGGGUCUGAGAGGAUGAUCCGCCACACUGGAACUGAGACACGGUCCAGACUCCUACGGGAGGCAGCAGUGGGGAAUUUUGGACAAUGGGCGAAAGCCUGAUCCAGCAAUGCCGCGUGAGUGAUGAAGGCCUUAGGGUUGUAAAGCUCUUUUACCAGGGAUGAUAAUGACAGUACCUGGAGAAUAAGCUCCGGCUAACUCCGUG